AUGCUUGCUUAGGCAGCACAUAUACUAAAAUUGGAAUGAUACAGAGAAGAUUAGCAUGGUCCCUACACAAGGAUGACACGCAAAUCUGUGAAGCGUUCCAUAUUUUU
Small nuclear RNA from Cavia aperea (Brazilian guinea pig), 107 nucleotides. The record is from Ensembl. NCBI's taxonomy places the organism in Eukaryota, Metazoa, Chordata, Mammalia, Rodentia, Caviidae.